Molecule: non-coding RNA, 24 nt
Filed under: Arabidopsis thaliana (thale cress)
Lineage: Eukaryota; Viridiplantae; Streptophyta; Magnoliopsida; Brassicales; Brassicaceae
Source: RNAcentral
AGGAGUUUGUCGACAUUUCAUGUC